RNAcentral lists this ribosomal RNA (789 nucleotides) under Escherichia coli. Its description in RNAcentral is "bacterial SSU rRNA". It matches the Rfam family "Bacterial small subunit ribosomal RNA", at positions 672 to 1448 of the family's 1533-position model. Lineage: Bacteria; Pseudomonadati; Pseudomonadota; Gammaproteobacteria; Enterobacterales; Enterobacteriaceae. The record is from RNAcentral.
GGUGUAGCGGUGAAAAUGCGUAGAGAUCUGGAGGAAUACCCGGUGGCGGAAGGCGGCCCCCCCUGGACGAAGACUGACGCUCAGGUGCGAAAGCGUGGGGAGCAAACAGGAUUAGAUACCCCUGGUAGUCCCACGCCGUAAAACGAUGUCGACUUGGAGGUUGUGCCCUUGAGGCGUGGCUUCCGGAGUUAACGCGUUAAGUCGACCGCCUGGGGAGUACGGCCGCCAAGGUUAAAACUCAAAUGAAUUGACGGGGGCCCGCACAAGCGGUGGAGCAUGUGGUUUAAUUCGAUGCAACGCGAAGAACCUUACCUGGUCUUGACAUCCACGGAAGUUUUCAGAGAUGAGAAUGUGCCUUCGGGAACCGUGAGACAGGUGCUGCAUGGCUGUCGUCAGCUCGUGUUGUGAAAUGUUGGGUUAAGUCCCGCAACGAGCGCAACCCUUAUCCUUUGUUGCCAGCGGUCCGGCCGGGAACUCAAAGGAGACUGCCAGUGAUAAACUGGAGGAAGGUGGGGAUGACGUCAAGUCAUCAUGGCCCUUACGACCAGGGCUACACACGUGCUACAAUGGCGCAUACAAAGAGAAGCGACCUCGCGAGAGCAAGCGGACCUCAUAAAGUGCGUCGUAGUCCGGAUUGGAGUCUGCAACUCGACUCCAUGAAGUCGGAAUCGCUAGUAAUCGUGGAUCAGAAUGCCACGGUGAAUACGUUCCCCCCCCCUUGUCCACACCGCCCGUCACACCAUGGGAGUGGGUUGCUAAUUAGAUUGUAGGUAGCUUUAACUUCGGGAG